Oreochromis niloticus (Nile tilapia) is the source of this 4226-nucleotide long non-coding RNA. RefSeq lists it as uncharacterized. Lineage: Eukaryota; Metazoa; Chordata; Actinopteri; Cichliformes; Cichlidae. The record is from RefSeq and is a predicted model, not a curated record. The transcript is spliced from 5 exons.
GGGAUGCGAGGCGCUGGAGUGUCACACAGAUGCUUUGUUUGCUUCAUUCAUCAGUGUCCAAGAUUCAGGAAACUUUUUCUGACUGGCCGCCAGCAUCGCGCCAUCUGUCUCCACCUGUCCAAUAACUGGAGGUGCGGCAUGAGAAAUGGACUUCUGGCGCCUAAACUCAUCUGCAAGAGAACCAGAUGAAGGCGCAAGGUGCAGGCUAAUAGCUGCAAAUUAUAAAAGAGCAACGCUACAAAUAUGUGUUGAAUUAUGCAGCGAUGCACUGGGCUAAUCUGUCAUUAAUAUGCCAUCCUGACCUUUGCUGGUGUUUGUGACUUUCACUGUGAAUAAAUGAUAAAUGAUACCAGAAAAAGAAAGACUGUUUCGUGAUAAGUAUUUCUUUGAACAGCUGUUGUAAGCCACAGAAGUUUGUGCCCCGCUGAGCAUCUGCCUUUGCAAAUUGAUUACCCAGGGGAAGCCCAGACCUGCCCUCCCUCCUCCACAAACUAACCACAGCUGCUGCUUUGAUUAAAAGCUGGAUGGAAGUCCCUGAAUGCAACUUCCCGCUCACAAAAGUCAGACUGCAAAGUGGGAUCGGUAUUAUCUGAAAAGGACGGAGACAAGGUGCCUCUGGGGUAGAACAAUGCUGAAGCUUCCUGUUUGGGUUUUGGAGCAGAGGGUCAUGUGAUCAGGUAUCAGCUAAUGCUAGCAAGUGUAGUUAGCAAGCUAAGCUACAACCACAGACUGUUGUGCAGAAGCACAAACACCUACGCAGACUCAUAGAUAUGUUUUUUUUAACAAUUAACUACACACUGGAUGACUGAUCUGUCAUAUAGUAACACUAAAAAGUGUUUCAAAUGGCCUCAGUACCGUAAACGUGGUCCGGAGGUCGAGUACGGACACUUUGGAGACCACUUGAAGACACUUAGCAAGUUAAAUAUCAGGGAAACAAACACUUCAGAUGCUAGUGACAAACUUUAGACCCUUCUACUGUCUGCACACAAAGGCUCAAGGAAUCGUCCAGGGAGGGUGAGGCUACUGUUCCAGAGAACUGAUUGGUCAGUAGAGGGCCAGUUCAUUUCAUAGCUGCUGAAUCAUCAGGAAACAUGUAAACAUGCAGUUUCUUUGUUCACAGAGCAAAGAUGAAAAGGUCCUCGGGCUGUUACAGUGUAUUAACUCAUGUUCAGCUAGACAAUAAGUAGACAGCAGAAUGAAUAUAGUGUAUAUUUUACAGCACCAGCGCCCACAGAACGUAACAACGGGUAAAAAGGUUUAUUUACAAAGGGCAGGGAAUGUGCAACAGGGGGAUCCAGGUAGAUAUCGCAAAGGUAAACAUUCAGCAGUGACAAGGCAGAGUGGAAUUCGAAAAGCCACUGAAGAUGACCACAGGGAGGACUCUGUGACGGAAGGGAAGAAUAACAAGGCCAGUCGAAGUCAACAAGACAGAAUAACCGGAUCUAAAGCGAGAUGCUGAGCAUCACUACCACACAAGAAGAACGAAGAAGACCGAGCGGAUAAGUUAGGGCUAAGACGGUGUGCAGGUGUGUCAGCAGGCAGAGAGCAGGAAACACAGCAAGGCCACGCCUGUGUUAAAUCCACAACAGUGUCCGGCACCAGUCUAAUGAUUCCUGCCAUGACUUGUUACCUCAUCAGUUCACUGCCCACAAAGCAGAUCUUUUUCUGCUGAAAAGCAAUCACUGGAGAAGAUGAAGCUUGUUGGUCAAUGAAGACAGAAAGUUCCACAGGAAAUUGGCGUCUUGUUCAUCCAGCCUUCACUAAAUUACAUCUUCAUGGACCAAUGAGGAGAAGGUCAUCGAUCUUAUCGACUCCAUGGCGUCAGUCACCCUCCUGAGCAGUGCUGGGGUCAUCUGGUUAACUUGAGGGUAAAAAUAGCAAAAGAGGCGCUCCUAAAGGAGAAAAUGCCUCUGACAUGCAACCAACUUCCUCAAUAUUUAGCCAAACAAAUUCAAACCAGAGAGCCUUACUCUAAUCAGGGGUUAUAAACUCCUCCCAAACAAACCAAAUGACUAAUAUGUAAUUCUAAUUUUAAACACAGAGGGAUGAUGGAGGCGCUCCCUGCGGUUUUGGGGGGAAACAUUAACAUUGACCUUGUGUUGAUUAAAAUAAGAAAAUAAAUUCUGUGUAGUUGUGAAUUUGUGUAGAGAGAAAACUCUGAUUAAGUGCACUGACUUAAUAAGUUACAUCUAUUUCAAAGGCUACAUGCCACGAGUGUAAUCACGAUGAUGAAUACAUAUUCAUACGUCUUUGGUUUACAUUAUUAUGGAUUGUGUGUGCAUCACAGUGCAGAGUCGUUACAGUGGCAUGCAGGGACUGAAAUGUAAUAGUUAUUUAUAUUAGAGGAGAAACUCAAUUGAAUAACUCUGUUUGCAUGCAUGCAGUCAGAACGGUGAGGUCUGAGGUUAAGGAGAUUUAAAAGGACAGUAAUGAUUACUUCAUAAGGUCAGAGACAAGAGACGAUCAUCUGCAAGACCGAAUAUACGAGGUUCACCACAAGCGCUUGAUUUGGUGCAGGACAUGCUGCACCUGAGCGCAUGUACACUGCAGAUUUGGGAUCAUUAAUAAUGAUUUUGUUUGUAAAAAAAACGACAUUUAAAAAUAGGGUUAACACGAUUAACAGAAAACGCUCGUGUAGAUUUCAACAAGGUGGAAUUAAAAACAAAAAAUAAAGUGGAUCUCCAUCUAAUGAUUACAUAAAUGUGGGAUACUUCAAAAUAAAAGCAUGAAUAACAGUCAUAAAUAGAGCCAAGAAGACAAUUAGUUAGAUUCAGGAUAUGCAAAGUGAAGGUUGUGGAGGAGUCGUGCACGAUCAGCACGAUCAGCUUUAUUCUGGGAACAGGAACAGCUGAGAGCUGAAGGUCUCACUGUGCGGGGUCACACUGAUGAAGUGCCGUUAAAGUACCCAACAUGUUCCUUUGAUAUGAAACACUGUGUUUGGUCUCUGCCUGCUCCGUUUGAUAUGUGAAGUUUAUGUUAAAAUCUUAGGUGACCCAACAGCUCUGAGCCCUUUUCCCCACACCAACCAUCACUCCCACCUUGGAAGCGUCAUUCUCUUUGCAUGUGUUUUGCUCUGUUUGCAUUUUUACUUGUUGCAUUUUAUACAUUUGGAGCUUUUUCCCAUGUAUGCUUGUGCUUUUCCCUUGUACAGUAUGUGUUUUGUCCUUAGGGACCACAUUAUAUCGCUGACUCUGGGAAGCCUUUUGCUUAUCUGCUGGUGAAAGAUGUGUUUUGUGCUUGUGUCCCACUUCGCUGUAUUCUGCACCGCUCUGCUCCAUCUAUUUUCUGUUGCUUAUCUGGAGCCGGUGCUCGUGGCAGAAGGGUAAGUAAGGUAGUCCCUCUUCAGGGAAUCCCGAACAGUUACCGAGCCGAAUGAGAUGUAUAAUCUCUCCAGCAUAUUGUAGGUCUGCCCCGGAGUUUCUGUCCAGUUAAGCACAUGCAGAAAACCUCCAAAGGUGCCCCAAACAACCUUGACCGGCUCCUCUUAUUGCAAAGACUCGCGGGCUCGUCUCCAAACUCUUAUCUGUAAGUGUGAUACCAGCACAUGGAAGAAAUUCUUUUUAGUUGAGCGAAAGCUCCCCUGAUUAGAGGCACACAUUGUGACUAACAGCAGAAAGUAGCUUACAGUGUAACGCAUUACAACAAUACUGAGCAGAUAACGGCUGAAGUCACCUCAAGUGUAUUUAAAGAAAGUUCGCUGUACAAUCUUUCACCUGUGAAUGUGUGUCUGAUAGAACAUGAGUACACCUGCUCUCACCACCAAAAGACUUUUGCUGAAACCAAAACUGUAGUUCCUCUAAUGACUUCAGAGGUUCAAUCCUGGCAGACUCGCACAUGUUCGCAGCCUGUUUUUGUGUAACUCACAUAAUUUUUUAAGGUUUCGAGAUGUAAGCUGAUGAUUUCUGCAAGUGAGCAGUAAUCUGAGUAGUGUCACCGUGCUGCUGCUUGAAUUCUAGUGUUUUAUUUACAUGCAUCAUGUGACCUGUGCAGACUUGUCUUCUGUGCUGACUUCUUUUCUUUUCACCGGGCCGGCUUGUGUGUUCAGAGGCGGCGCUUCCUCCAGUGUACCUGUGCUCCUCCUCCCGACACUCCUGGAAACAAUCGCUCACCUGCUACUUAAAGUUUCCCCGCCGUGCACUGAUGGUGCAAUAGAUGUUUUCCUUGUGUUUGUGUAUUUGCUUGUGGAUCCUGUUCUUCUCGUGUGCAGAUGCCUCCCUCAUGUCUAA